UACAGAGGGGGCUAGCGUUAUUCGGAAUUAUUGGGCGUAAAGGGCGCGUAGGCGGCCAUGCGUGUCUUCCGUGAAAUCCCUCGGCUUAACUGAGGACGUGCGGAAGAAACUGCAAGGCUCGAGUCCGGGAGAGGGGGGUGGAAUUCCCAGUGUAGCGGUGAAAUGCGUAGAUAUUGGGAGGAACACCGGUGGCGAAGGCGGCCCCCUGGACCGGUACUGACGCUGAGGCGCGAAAGCGUGGGUAGCAAACGGG
This 253-nucleotide ribosomal RNA is filed under the name uncultured bacterium. RNAcentral's name for it is "partial 16S ribosomal RNA". It matches the Rfam family "Bacterial small subunit ribosomal RNA", at positions 524 to 776 of the family's 1533-position model. The record is from RNAcentral. RNAcentral also lists the same sequence under 2 other names.